GACGAACGCUGGCGGCGUGCUUAACACAUGCAAGUCGAACGGAACUGCCCUGCUUUUUUGGGGUGCGCGCGUGGCGAACGGGGGAGUUACCCGGGAGUAACCUUCCCUUGCCUUUCUGGUAAACUCCUGAAACGGGGGCUAAUAACGGAUAGGUGUUCCUGCGGCGUGGGGGGGGUUGGAGAGUGUCUGCGUUUGGGGGUGGUCUCGGGGGGUGUCAGCUUGUGGGUGGGGUAGUGGCUUACGAAGGCUUUGCCGGGUAGCCGGCCUGAGAGGGUGACCGGCCACAUUGGGACUGAGAUACGGCCCAGCCUCCUACGGGAGGCAGCAGUGGGGAAUAUUGCACAAUGGGGGGAAGCCUGAUGCAGCAACGCCGCGUGCGGGAUGAAGGCCUUCGGGUUGUAAACCGCUUUCGCCUGUGACGAAGCGUGUGUGACGGUAAUGGGUAAAGAAGCACCGGCUAACUACGUG
Molecule: ribosomal RNA, 468 nt
Filed under: uncultured bacterium
Lineage: Bacteria
Description: partial 16S ribosomal RNA
Rfam family: Bacterial small subunit ribosomal RNA
Source: RNAcentral